RNAcentral lists this ribosomal RNA (460 nucleotides) under uncultured bacterium. RNAcentral's name for it is "partial 16S ribosomal RNA". It matches the Rfam family "Bacterial small subunit ribosomal RNA", at positions 338 to 795 of the family's 1533-position model. The record is from RNAcentral.
CCUACGGGAGGCAGCAGUGAGGAAUAUUGGUCAAUGGGCGUGAGCCUGAACCAGCCAAGUCGCGUGAAGGAAGACUGCCCUAUGGUUUGUAAACUUCUUUUAUAGGGGAAUAAAGUUAGGCACGUGUGCCUUUUUGUAUGUACUUUAUGAAUAAGGAUCGGCUAACUCCGUGCCAGCAGCCGCGGUAAUACGGAGGAUCCGAGCGUUAUCCGGAUUUAUUGGGUUUAAAGGGAGCGUAGGUUGGUUGUUAAGUCAGUUGUGAAAGUUUGCGGCUCAACCGUAAAAUUGCCAUUGAUACUGGAAGACUUGAGUACAGUUGAGGUAGGCGGAAUUCGUGGUGUAGCGGUGAAAUGCGUAGAUAUCACGAAGAACUCCGAUUGCGAAGGCAGCUUACUAAACUGCAACUGACACUGAUGCGCGAAAGCGUGGGGAUCAAACAGGAUUAGAUACCCCUGUAGUC